Molecule: ribosomal RNA, 402 nt
Filed under: uncultured bacterium
Lineage: Bacteria
Description: bacterial SSU rRNA
Rfam family: Bacterial small subunit ribosomal RNA
Source: RNAcentral
UGGGGAAUCUUGCACAAUGGGGGCAACCCUGAUGCAGCGACGCCGCGUGAGCGAUGAAGCCCUUCGGGGCGUAAAGCUCUUUCGACCGGAACGAUAAUGACGGUACCGGGAGAAGAAGCUGCGGCUAACUACGUGCCAGCAGCCGCGGUAAUACGUAGGCAGCAAGCGUUGUUCGGAGUUACUGGGCGUAAAGAGUGCGUAGGCGGUUUUCUAAGUUCGGUGUGAAAUCUCCCGGCUUAACUGGGAGGGUGCGCCGAAGACUGGGAAGCUGGAGUGUGGGAAAGGCAGGCGGAAUUCCUGGUGUAGCGGUGAAAUGCGUAGAUAUCGGGAGGAACACCGGCGGUGUAGACGGCUUGCUAGACCAUAACUGACGCCGAGGCACGAAAGCGUGGGUAGCAAACA